This 357-nucleotide unclassified non-coding RNA is filed under the name soil metagenome. RNAcentral describes it as "partial contains 5.8S ribosomal RNA, internal transcribed spacer 2, and large subunit ribosomal RNA". The stretch from base 1 to 120 matches the Rfam family "5.8S ribosomal RNA", at positions 35 to 154 of the family's 154-position model. The record is from RNAcentral.
GAUGAAGAACGUAGCGAAAUGCGAUAAGUAAUGUGAAUUGCAGAAUUCAGUGAAUCAUCGAAUCUUUGAACGCACAUUGCGCCCGCCAGUAUUCUGGCGGGCAUGCCUGUCCGAGCGUCAUUUCAACCCUCGAACCCCUCCGGGGGGUCGGCGUUGGGGACCUCGGGAGCCCCUAAGACGGGAUCCCGGCCCCGAAAUACAGUGGCGGUCUCGCCGCAGCCUCUCCUGCGCAGUAGUUUGCACAACUCGCACCGGGAGCGCGGCGCGUCCACGUCCGUAAAACACCCAACUUCUGAAAUGUUGACCUCGGAUCAGGUAGGAAUACCCGCUGAACUUAAGCAUAUCAAAAGCGGAGGA